GAUGAACGCUGGCGGCGUGCCUAAUACAUGCCAGUCGAGCGAACAGACGAGGAGCUUGCUCCGCUCACGUUAGCCGCGGAGGGGUGAGUAACACGUGUAAACCCUACCUAUAAGACUGGGAUAACUUCGGGACACCGGCGCUAAUACCGUAUAAUAUAUUGCAGCACGUUGGGCGAUAGUAAGAGACGGUGUUGCUGUCACUUAUAGAUGGAUCCGCGCCGCUUUAGCUAGUUGGUAAGGUAACGGGCUACCACGGCAACGAUGCGUAGCCGACCUGAGGGGGUGGUAGGCCACACUGGAACGUAGACAGGGACCAUACGCCUACGGGAGGGAGCAGUAGGGAAUCUGACGCAAUGGGCGAAAGCAUGACGGAGUAAGGCCGAGUGAGUGAUGAAGGUCUUGGGAUCGUAAAACUCUGUUAUUAGGGAUGAACAACUGUGUACGUAAAUAUGCCGGUCUUGACGGUAACGAGUAAGAAAGCCACGGCUAACUACGUG
RNAcentral lists this ribosomal RNA (497 nucleotides) under uncultured bacterium. RNAcentral's name for it is "partial 16S ribosomal RNA". It matches the Rfam family "Bacterial small subunit ribosomal RNA", at positions 28 to 507 of the family's 1533-position model. The record is from RNAcentral.